CACUCCUGCGGGAGGCAGCAGUGGGGAAUAUUGGACAAUGGGCGCAAGCCUGAUCCAGCCAUGCCGCGUGAGUGAUGAAGGCCCUAGGGUUGUAAAGCUCUUUCACCGGAGAAGAUAAUGACGGUAUCCGGAGAAGAAGCCCCGGCUAACUUCGUGCCAGCAGCCGCGGUAAUACGAAGGGGGCUAGCGUUGUUCGGAAUUACUGGGCGUAAAGCGCACGUAGGCGGAUCGAUCAGUCAGGGGUGAAAUCCCAGGGCUCAACCCUGGAACUGCCUUUGAUACUGUCGAUCUGGAGUAUGGAAGAGGGGAGUGGAAUUCCGAGUGUAGAGGUGAAAUUCGUAGAUAUUCGGAGGAACACCAGUGGCGAAGGCGGCUCACUGGUCCAUUACUGACGCUGAGGUGCGAAAGCGUGGGGAGCAAACAGGAUUAGAAACCCUUGUAGUCCCAUG
This 449-nucleotide ribosomal RNA is filed under the name uncultured organism. RNAcentral's name for it is "partial 16S ribosomal RNA". It matches the Rfam family "Bacterial small subunit ribosomal RNA", at positions 334 to 799 of the family's 1533-position model. The record is from RNAcentral.